UGGGGAAUAUUGCACAAUGGGGGAAACCCUGAUGCAGCGAUGCCGCGUGGAGGAAGAAGGUUUUCGGAUUGUAAACUCCUGUUGAAGAGGACGAUAAUGACGGUACUCUUUUAGAAAGCUCCGGCUAACUACGUGCCAGCAGCCGCGGUAAUACGUAGGGAGCGAGCGUUGUCCGGAAUUACUGGGUGUAAAGGGAGCGUAGGCGGGAUGGCAAGUCAGAUGUGAAAACUAUGGGCUCAACCCAUAGACUGCAUUUGAAACUGUAGAGCUUGAGUGAAGUAGAGGCAGGCGGAAUUCCCCGUGUAGCGGUGAAAUGCGUAGAGAUGGGGAGGAACACCAGUGGCGAAGGCGGCCUGCUGGGCUUUAACUGACGCUGAGGCACGAAAGCGUGGGUAGCAAACAGGAUUAGAUACCCUGGUAGUCCACGCUGUAAACGAUGAUUACUAGGUGUGGGGGGUCUGACCCCUUCCGUGCCGGAGUUAACACAAUAAGUAAUCCACCUGGGGAGUACGGCCGCAAGGUUGAAACUCAAAGGAAUUGACGGGGGCCCGCACAAGCAGUGGAGUAUGUGGUUUAAUUCGAAGCAACGCGAAGAACCUUACCAGGUCUUGACAUCCAACUAACGAAGUAGAGAUACAUUAGGUGCCCUUCGGGGAAAGUUGAGACAGGUGGUGCAUGGUUGUCGUCAGCUCGUGUCGUGAGAUGUUGGGUUAAGUCCCGCAACGAGCGCAACCCUUGCUAUUAGUUGCUACGCAAGAGCACUCUAAUAGGACUGCCGUUGACAAAACGGAGGAAGGUGGGGACGACGUCAAAUCAUCAUGCCCCUUAUGACCUGGGCUACACACGUACUACAAUGGAUGUUAACAGAGGGAAGCAAGACAGCGAUGUGGAGCAAACCCCUAAAAACAUUCUCAGUUCAGAUUGCAGGCUGCAACCCGCCUGCAUGAAGAUGGAAUUGCUAGUAAUCGCGGAUCAGCAUGCCGCGGUGAAUACGUUCCC
RNAcentral lists this ribosomal RNA (999 nucleotides) under uncultured organism. RNAcentral's name for it is "bacterial SSU rRNA". It matches the Rfam family "Bacterial small subunit ribosomal RNA", at positions 355 to 1375 of the family's 1533-position model. The record is from RNAcentral.